UCCCAUGGGCAGAUGGUCGCUCCUGCUUCGGCGGGAGAGGAAAGUCCGAACACCACAAGGCAGCAUGCCGCGGAAAAACCCGCGGAGGGUCGGGGCGAAAGUUCCGGCCGAUGGAAAGUGUCACAGAGAAGAAACCGCCGCGACGCGCUUGGAUAGGCGUGGCGGCAAGGGUGAAAAGGCGGGGUAAGAGCCCACCGCCCGGCGGGUAACCGCCGGGGCACGAUAAACCCCAUGCGGUGCAAGUCCAAACAGAGACGCCGGGUCGCCUGCCCGGUCGCGGAGGAAACUCCGGGGCCCGUCUCGGGUAUCGGUCGCACGCGCGCCGCAAGGCGCCGUCCGGCGGGAGCGAUCCCGACGGAAGAUGAAUGACCAUCGCCGUCGCGCCUUUAGCAAGCGCGGCGGGACAGAAUUCGGCUUACGCCCGGAACAA
RNAcentral lists this RNase P RNA (430 nucleotides) under Methylacidiphilales bacterium. Its description in RNAcentral is "Candidatus Methylacidiphilales bacterium RNase P RNA component class A". It matches the Rfam family "Bacterial RNase P class A". From Rfam's summary of the family: Ribonuclease P (RNase P) is a ubiquitous endoribonuclease, found in archaea, bacteria and eukarya as well as chloroplasts and mitochondria. Its best characterised activity is the generation of mature 5'-ends of tRNAs by cleaving the 5'-leader elements of precursor-tRNAs. The record is from RNAcentral. Lineage: Bacteria; Pseudomonadati; Verrucomicrobiota; Methylacidiphilae; Methylacidiphilales.